This is a long non-coding RNA of Tupaia belangeri chinensis (Chinese tree shrew), 1406 nucleotides long. RefSeq lists it as uncharacterized. The record is from RefSeq and is a predicted model, not a curated record. The transcript has 12 exons. Lineage: Eukaryota; Metazoa; Chordata; Mammalia; Scandentia; Tupaiidae.
GUUCACAUCUCCGGGCUUCCUGUGCGUGCUGGGUACACCUGUGAUCUAGUUGGGUCAGGGUAGGGGAAGGAUUGCGGCAUGAGGAUCCUGCCAAAGAUCUCUCUCUUUCUCCCCCAACCCCUCUCAUGGAAGUAAUACAUAAACAAAUAUUUUUAAAAGAAUUACAGAAUCUCAUAAUCUUUAGGAAUAUUGAAUGAAUCCUCAGGAAAAACAAUUUGAUUUUUUUUUUAAAGAUCCAAAUGGUAAAUUUUAAGUAACUAACUACAUAAAGGAAAUAGAAGGUGAGCACUUGAAAGGAGUAGAGCAACCUACCAGAAAACCUUUCGCCAGGAUAUAGCUGGUAAUGAAAACAGGAAGAUUCACAGUCAAAAGUGAGGACAGACUCGGAUAGCAGAACAUCUGUGAAUAAAAUGGCUGAUGAAAUCUGGAGCACAAGAAUUUUCUGUUGUCAACCAUAGGCAGCUUUUAAAAGUCUACAGCCAAACAAAAGUGGAGGACUGCAUCAACAGCAACACAUUAUUCACAAUAGCCAAGAUACGGAAUCAACCUUAGGGUCCAUCAAUGAAUGACUGGAUAAAGAAAAUGUGAUGCAACCUUGCUGCUUAGCCAAAAGUUCAAGGAUGGAAGAGGGCAGAGUCACCAUGAUCUAAAGGGAACAAAACUGGAGCUCCUAAAUGGUCAACCCUACUACUGAAUUUCCAAUCGGAACUCCUGCCUGGGUUAUGACAACCCCAAAUCUGAGACCCUACAACUGCCCUGCAGUAGGAAAUCACCCAGGGUUGAGAACCACUAAUUUAAGAGGAGUUUAAGGAGAGAUUCCUCUGAUGUCAUAUUGUGACCAAUAUGGGGAUAAAAGAAAACUUACCUUUUAAAGACAAGAACCCAAAAAUGUACUAAUGAGUUGAUGUACUAUCUAGGGUACGUUUCAAAGCAAAAUGAGAAGUGGAAAGGAAGAAAAUGUGGUUGGAGCAGGCCCAGCCACUAUUGGCUAAACUGAAGCGGUGCGGAUGUGCUCACAAAGAAUAAGUCAACUAUCAUCAUCAGCUUUUACUUAAAUAUUACACGCAGCCUGGGAUUCUGAUGCAAGGGAAAAACUUGUAACACCUGCUCUCUGGCCUUCAACGAAUUACUUUCAAGCAUUUAAGCCAAGAUUCACAGUAGGAAAUAUAUUAUCCUUGCUGAACAUUUGGAUUAUUUCUAUUUUUUUGGCAACUGAGGGCAACGCUGCUGUGCUACUGGAAGAGUUCAUUGCUUUCAGGCAAAUGAGAACAUGGGCAGUGUUUACAAAAUCUUCAAAUAGCAAGAAAAACACCAUACCGAGAAAGAAGAACAACCUUCUGUAUUAUUUCCCUUCAUUUUGAACUUCUAGCCCCUCUUCCCUUCCCUUUCCUAAAAUAUUUAUGUAC